Molecule: ribosomal RNA, 490 nt
Filed under: uncultured bacterium
Lineage: Bacteria
Description: partial 16S ribosomal RNA
Rfam family: Bacterial small subunit ribosomal RNA
Source: RNAcentral
AUUGAACGCUGGCGGCAGGCCUAACACAUGCAAGUCGAACGGUAACAGGGAUCAGCUUGCUGAUUCGCUGACGAGUGGCGGACGGGUGAGUAAUGUCUGGGAAACUACCUGAUGGAGGGGGAUAACUACUGGAAACGGUAGCUAAUACCGCAUAACGUCGCAAGACCAAAGAGGGGGACCUUCGGGCCUCUUGCCAUCGGAUGUGCCCAGAUGGGAUUAGCUAGUAGGUGGGGUAACGGCUCACCUAGGCGACGAUCCCUAGCUGGUCUGAGAGGAUGACCAGCCACACUGGAACUGAGACACGGUCCAGACUCCUACGGGAGGCAGCAGUGGGGAAUAUUGCACAAUGGGCGCAAGCCUGAUGCAGCCAUGCCGCGUGUAUGAAGAAGGCCUUCGGGUUGUAAAGUACUUUCAGCGGGGAGGAAGGGAGUAAAGUUAAUACCUUUGCUCAUUGACGUUACCCGCAGAAGAAGCACCGGCUAACUCCGUG